RNAcentral lists this unclassified non-coding RNA (277 nucleotides) under uncultured fungus. RNAcentral describes it as "partial contains 5.8S ribosomal RNA, internal transcribed spacer 2, and large subunit ribosomal RNA". The stretch from base 1 to 52 matches the Rfam family "5.8S ribosomal RNA", at positions 103 to 154 of the family's 154-position model. Lineage: Eukaryota; Fungi. The record is from RNAcentral.
AACGCAUAUUGCGCCCUUUGGUAUUCCGAAGGGCAUGCCUGUUCGAGCGUCAUUAUCACCCCUCAAGCCCCCUCGGCUUGGUGUUGGACGGUUUGGUUUUGGUGACAAGACCCCUCCUAAAAUCAACGACGGCGGCCUGUUCGACCCCCGGUACACUGAGCUUCUUAACUGAGCACGUAUCGGCCUAAGGGUGGGCAGGAGCCGGUUCUCUUCCUUCACCGGAAAACUUUCUUCCAUGGUUGACCUCGGAUCAGGUAGGGAUACCCGCUGAACUUAA